CAAGGAUAUCUAAUAGCGUUGGUUAGAAGAAAAGCACUAGUUGGACUAACCAGUAGUAACCAGUUUGUCUUAAUGAGUGAAUUGUUGAUGUCAGAAUUGCAGCAACAAUGAUGCAAAGACAUGGAUGCAGGAAGUGGAAUCGAGUGAUAAUGAGGAAAAAUCUCUCCCCAAUAAUCUAGUGGGUGGGAUAAAAUCCACCCAGUCAUGAAAGUGUAGCCCUUAUGGCUACAAAGGAAAGACCCAUAAUGCACAUUGCCAAUUCCAGAAUUUCUUCUGACAUAUGCAUUAAAACUUAAUUGGAGAGUUUCAAG
Molecule: non-coding RNA, 311 nt
Organism: Pelobates cultripes (western spadefoot toad)
Lineage: Eukaryota; Metazoa; Chordata; Amphibia; Anura; Pelobatidae
Source: the annotation of a GenBank genome assembly